This is a long non-coding RNA of Diprion similis, 727 nucleotides long. RefSeq lists it as uncharacterized. The record is from RefSeq and is a predicted model, not a curated record. NCBI's taxonomy places the organism in Eukaryota, Metazoa, Arthropoda, Insecta, Hymenoptera, Diprionidae. The transcript has 2 exons.
GGCACAGCUUACCAACAGUAAUAAUCGUGGCUUCAUCAUCUCAGAAGAUAACGUUUCGACUGUAAAUAAACUCUGGCACCAACACCACUAUACGCACAAAAUCCCAAAAGAAUUUUCACAAACGUAGUGUUCCAUAUCCGUGGAGUAAAACCUCAACAUUACUCUGAUGGAUUAUGUAUUACAGUUCAGUACAGCCCACCAGCAACUGUCGAGGAUCCCGGUACGACUACGGAGUUCCGUUAUACGAACGGUCCAACACCAGCUCAGAAUUUUAAUACCGGUCUUCUUUAUCAUGUUUACUGGUAUCGUAGAAUGACGUGGUUGUGUUGAACUACAAACGUUUCGAGUUCAACCCAGACCCACGAAUUUUUGAAAUACUGGGUAAGGCGACGAAUAUUACGGCCAGUAAUCAUAGUCGGAGGAUAAAUGGAUAUGACAAUAUUUACUAAUUUCUUGCUACUUGUAACGCCAUGCGAAACGAUACUUCAACAAACUUUUUAUUGAUCUGGUUAUUCACACCUAAGAUGCCACGCGCCGAUUUGUAGAUUCCAUCGUGUAUUUUGACAUACCUACAUAUUUUCAUUUAAAGUAACCGCCCAAAAAUUUAUGACAUGUUUAAGAAUCAUCGUAGAACGUAGAUAUGCAGUUAACUUUUUGCGUGUACCGUACGACGUACAAUGAUAAAUGUCUUUAGGUAUGUAUUUAGUUUCAUUAAGCAGUGCAAAGG